Molecule: unclassified non-coding RNA, 1431 nt
Filed under: Asteriscus schultzii
Lineage: Eukaryota; Viridiplantae; Streptophyta; Magnoliopsida; Asterales; Asteraceae
Description: external transcribed spacer
Source: RNAcentral
UAUAUAUAGGGGGGUGGUGAGAGCUGGUAGCCAGGUAGCCAAGAUGCAUGGAUACGAGGUAGCCUUUUCGAUGAAACCUAUGGCGUCGUGGGCCUCGCAACGCCAUUUUUACGUGCUUGCCGGACGAUCUUAGCCAGGAAGCAUUUUUUUCGACCCGGGCAUAUUUUCCCCGUCAACGACCGACCCGAGAGACCAAAGAAUCCUAGUCGUUGCCGUUUAAAAUAGGCCCCGGGUAGUCCGUUUUCGGGAAAAAAGAGGCCCCCGGUCAGGUUUUUCAAAAAAGUACGCAACCUCAAUAUUUCAGUGUCUGUUCCUGUAACAAAACUUUUUGUGCAAUAUGUAUAUAUAGGGGGGUGGUGAGAGCUGGUAGCCAGGUAGCCAAGAUGCAUGGGUACGAGGUAUCCUUUUCGAUGAAACCUAUGGCGUUGUGGGCCUCGCAACGCCAUUUGUACGUGCUUGCCGGACGAUCCUAGAACGAAGCAUUACUUGCCACGCCGGCUUGGCUUGGUGACUUGUUUUGUGUAGUUUUUUAGGUGACGGGGAGCAUGAUGUGGCAUGUCGGAACUGUUGACCAGGUCGAAGCCUGUGCCUCCCUGGGUAACAAAGACAACGUCAUGAAUGAAUGGCGGGGACCCUUUUCUAUGAAACCUGUGGCGUUGCGGGCCUGGCAACGCCAUUUGUACGUGCUUGCCGGACGAUCCUAGAACGAAGCAUUACUUGCCUCACCGGCCUGGCUGGUGGCUUGUUUUGUGUAGUUUUUUAGGUGACGGGGAGCAUGAUGUGGCAUGUCGGUAUCGUUCUUUGUUAUUUAGUUCGCAUCGUUCGGGGCAUCCUUGGAGCCGUUCGGACUUUUGGUUGCUUUCUUGGCUCGAAUGCCUAGUGGGUGGCUAAUUGUUAGGCGGUUUUCGUGGAUGUUUACUGUAAAGGUGCAUGAGUGGUGUUUGGUUUGUUACCGGUGGUUGGCUCUCUGCUUUUGCAACAACUUCCACCUGGCAUUCCUCUUCAGGUUCGUGUCAAGGUUGCUAUUCCUUGACCGCUUAUGGUUUCCUGUGUUCCCUACCUACGUGAUGGUAUUGCUUGAUUACAUCAAUGGCGUGUUUCAUCAUGCGUCAUUUAUAUGGCGUAGGAUGAACUUCAAAGCAGCUUCCAUGAUCCACCAUGUUGACGCACAUGCAUCGAUGUUGUGGCUCAUUGAGUUUCGCUUGGUUUUCUAGAUACAGAACAUGAUAUGGGUGUGGGUCCUGCGAUCCUUGUUUUGCCCUUUUUGAACGUUGUUAUAACUCAGAGAUGACCUCCUAUCCCGAAUUGGCUUGUACCAACGGGGUAGGUUAAGCUGUUGAAGAGUAAUAAUGCCGUUAUUGCUUCUCUAAAACAGACGGCCUUUCUUGUGUUGGAUCGUACCAACCGGUGGGCUAUGUCGAAGAGGGAUGC